AACUAACGCUGGCGGCGUGCCUAACACAUGCAAGUCGUACGAGAAAGUUGGCUUCGGCCGAUGAGUAAAGUGGCGCACGGGUGAGUAACGCGUGGAUAAUCUGCCUUUUAGUUGGGAAUAACGUACCGAAAGGUGCGCUAAUACCGAAUAAUGCUGCAUUGCUUCGGCGUUGCAGCCAAAGAUGGCCUCUGCUUGCAUGCUGUCGCUGAAGGAUGAGUCCGCGUACCAUUAGCUAGUUGGUAGGGUAAUGGCCUACCAAGGCGACGAUGGUUAGCUGGUCUGAGAGGAUGAUCAGCCACACUGGAACUGAGAUACGGUCCAGACUCCUACGGGUGCAG
Molecule: ribosomal RNA, 338 nt
Filed under: uncultured Pseudomonadota bacterium
Lineage: Bacteria; Pseudomonadati; Pseudomonadota
Description: bacterial SSU rRNA
Rfam family: Bacterial small subunit ribosomal RNA
Source: RNAcentral